GUGUUGAACAUUGUUGCUGUUUAUUCAACAAUGUAUGAUCACAUGAUCAUGGAAAUGACCAUCGUUUUAAUUUAUUACAGUGUGGUCAGCUGCUGCUGCCAUCCAGGUUAACAUCCCUAACGAUCAGUAUGAGUUCGCCAAAGGAGACAACAUCACACUGCCCUGCACAUUUACAAGCGCUCUACCCAGUCCAAAACUGAUCAUUAUCACAUGGUCUGCUGGUGAAGCCGAGGUUCUCACCUACUAUCAUCCCGAUGGAGACAUAGACAUUCAAUUAGAAGGCCGGGCGUCUCUGGAUGUAAAUGUUAAUGGUGGAACUGGGAGAGCUGACCUUAAGCUUUACUCUGUCACAUCGGCAGACAACAACAAAUAUAAGUGUCAUAUAAAUAUCCCCAAAGACGACAAA
Molecule: long non-coding RNA, 406 nt
Organism: Xiphophorus couchianus (Monterrey platyfish)
Lineage: Eukaryota; Metazoa; Chordata; Actinopteri; Cyprinodontiformes; Poeciliidae
Exons: 2
Source: RefSeq, a predicted model, not a curated record